GGUAGCUCAGUGAUAGAGUGCUUUCCUGGCAAGUGUGAGGCCUGGGUUCAAUUCUCAGUACUG
Molecule: transfer RNA, 63 nt
Filed under: Marmota monax (woodchuck)
Lineage: Eukaryota; Metazoa; Chordata; Mammalia; Rodentia; Sciuridae
Description: tRNA.Ala
Source: RNAcentral